RNAcentral lists this ribosomal RNA (497 nucleotides) under uncultured bacterium. RNAcentral describes it as "partial 16S ribosomal RNA". It matches the Rfam family "Bacterial small subunit ribosomal RNA", at positions 28 to 507 of the family's 1533-position model. The record is from RNAcentral.
GAUGAACGCUGGCGGCGUGCCUAAUACAUGCAAGUCGAGCGAACGGACGAGAAGCUUGCUUCUCUGAUGUUAGCGGCGGACGGGUGAGUAACACGUGGAUAACCUACCUAUAAGACUGGGAUAACUUCGGGAAACCGGAGCUAAUACCGGAUAAUAUUUUGAACCGCAUGGUUCAAAAGUGAAAGACGGUCUUGCUGUCACUUAUAGAUGGAUCCGCGCUGCAUUAGCUAGUUGGUAAGGUAACGGCUUACCAAGGCAACGAUGCAUAGCCGACCUGAGAGGGUGAUCGGCCACACUGGAACUGAGACACGGUCCAGACUCCUACGGGAGGCAGCAGUAGGGAAUCUUCCGCAAAGGGCGAAAGCCUGACGGAGCAACGCCGCGUGAGUGAUGAAGGUCUUCGGAUCGUAAAACUCUGUUAUUAGGGAAGAACAUAUGUGUAAGUAACUGUGCACAUCUUGACGGUACCUAAUCGGAAAGCCACGGCUAACUACGUG